UUUGGUGGCAAUAGCUGCGUGGAAACACCCGUUUCCAUUCCGAAUACGGCAGUUAAGCACGCAACGCCGAAAAUACUUGGCUGGUGACGGUCCGGGAAAAUAGGUACUGCCAAAG
This 115-nucleotide ribosomal RNA is filed under the name bacterium. The record is from RNAcentral.